UUCUUCAGGGCGGGGUGAGAUUCCCCACCGGCGGUAAGGAAAGCGUUGCUUUCUAAGCCCGCGAGCCGUAAGGCAGGAACCGGUGAGAUUCCGGUGCCGACAGUAUAGUCUGGAUGGAAGAAGA
RNAcentral lists this non-coding RNA (124 nucleotides) under human gut metagenome. RNAcentral describes it as "FMN riboswitch (RFN element)". It matches the Rfam family "FMN riboswitch aptamer (RFN element)". From Rfam's summary of the family: The RFN element is a highly conserved domain that is found frequently in the 5'-untranslated regions of prokaryotic mRNAs that encode for flavin mononucleotide (FMN) biosynthesis and transport proteins. The record is from RNAcentral.